UGUCAGAGCAUUUAAAGGGCCAGAACCAGUCUAAUAAAAUCCACUAUGCCCAAAUAACGUAUUUAAAGGGCAAAAUCUUCCAGGGGCCAUAGUCAUCCGGCAAGAGGCUGGUAAUUAGUCCUCUCCAGGCACAAGUGGUGAAGGGCACUUCGUCACACUCAUUAUCUAUUUAUCACUUUAUAUAUAGUAUUCAGUUAGAAU
This is a non-coding RNA of Pelobates cultripes (western spadefoot toad), 201 nucleotides long. Lineage: Eukaryota; Metazoa; Chordata; Amphibia; Anura; Pelobatidae. The record is from the annotation of a GenBank genome assembly.